GAAAUGCGAUACGCAAUGCGAAUUGCAGAAUUCCGCGAGUCAUCAGAUCUUUGAACGCAACUGGCGCUGGAGGGAUAUCCUUCCAGCAUGCUUGUUUCAGUGUCUUGAAACCUCACACAACUUAAUGUGAUUGAAGUGCAUUGUGUAUUUACUAUACAAUGCAUUUCUCUCAUGAAAUAUGAAAGUGUGGAUCUUUCGAUCCAGCGAAGUAGUCACAUUCUAAAUGUGAUUUCGUUGGUAAUCUGAAUUAUCCGUAAACACUUUUUACAUAAUAACAAAACAAUCUUCAAUAUGCAUCUGAAAUCAAGCAAGAUCACCCGCUGAACUUAA
RNAcentral lists this unclassified non-coding RNA (330 nucleotides) under uncultured Ophiostomataceae. RNAcentral's name for it is "sequence contains ITS1". The stretch from base 1 to 105 matches the Rfam family "5.8S ribosomal RNA", at positions 50 to 154 of the family's 154-position model. Lineage: Eukaryota; Fungi; Ascomycota; Sordariomycetes; Ophiostomatales. The record is from RNAcentral.